UACGAAGGGGGCGAGCGUUGUUCGGAUUUACUGGGCGUAAAGCGCGCGUAGGCGCCCGAUCAGUCCGCUGUAAAAGUCCAGGGCUCAACCCUGGAAAGCCGGUGGAUACUGUCGGGCUAGAGUCCGGAAGAGGCGAGUGGAAUUCCUGGUGUAGCGGUGGAAUGCGCAGAUAUCAGGAAGAACACCCGUGGCGAAGGCGGCUCUCUGGGACGGUACUGACGCUGAGACGCGAAAAGCGUGGGGAGCGAACAGG
Molecule: ribosomal RNA, 253 nt
Filed under: uncultured bacterium
Lineage: Bacteria
Description: partial 16S ribosomal RNA
Rfam family: Bacterial small subunit ribosomal RNA
Source: RNAcentral